UGCAUCAAAAAGGGGCUGGCCAUUAACGACGGGACGAGGAUAAGAGAGAGAGGGAGAGAGAGGGAGUGAGUGAAAAUGGCUUCUUCUCUGGUUACCUUCGAAAGCGUCUCCUUCGCUUGUUCCCAUAUUAGGCCAAUCUUCUCAUUACCCUCAAACCCAUUUGUAGUUUCGACUUUUUCAUAUCCAAAAACUGCUAAUUAUAUCAAGCUCAAGCACCUCCCAAGAGCAUCAUCAUCUUCUGAAGGCCUUCCUACUGAGUUGAUUGAAGAUUCCAAAUUUGUCCCGUUGACUGCUGAAGAUCCUCAAUAUGGUCCACCAGCUUUAUUGUUGUUGGGCUUUAAAGUGGAGGAGGCAGCAAAGAUACAGCAACUUUUGAAAGGCAUGGAUGGUGAAUUCCUAGAGGUUAUCUUCUGUACUGAAGACAUGAUUACUCGCUCGCUGUGGGACGCAGUUAAUACAAAGCAGCCCAAUUUGGAUACUGUGAAGAUUGCAAAUUCGGUGCCACGAAUAUGUUUCUUAUCUGGUCUUACGGGGGAAGAAAUGAUGAUGUUCGUUGAUGCUUUUCCUGAAAUUGGAUUAGAACCUGCUGUAUUUGCAGCUCUUGUUCCCAACAGCGCUGAUAAACCGCUACAAGAGUUGAUUGAGGAGAUUAUGGGAGACCAUGAAAUGCUUUCAGCAAAGAGAUCGGGCUAGGUGUUGCAAAAUGCAGAUUAGAGAUUUGAAGGAUCAAGAAUUGAAUGACUCACGAUAUUGUGUGUAUGUGCCAAUAGUUCUAGCUUGACCUUAUCAGCAUUACAUUCUAUUUUCGGAGUCAAAUUAUUGCCGAAGAUGACCACUGUUUUUUUUCUCCCUUGUUCUCUCAAUAAUUAUCGAGUGUAGUAGGGAAAGAGAAGGAUAUACAAACAAGCUUAUGUGUUUUUGUAUAUCAAUAAAAGUGCACCCAUCGAUUUAGGUCUUGUGACUGUCUCUUUCUUGUUCUGUUCUUCUCUUGGCUGGAAAAAAUAAUUCUCGUUGUACAGAAUAAAAGAAAAA
Rhododendron vialii is the source of this 1032-nucleotide RNA transcript. RefSeq lists it as uncharacterized. The transcript is spliced from 9 exons. NCBI's taxonomy places the organism in Eukaryota, Viridiplantae, Streptophyta, Magnoliopsida, Ericales, Ericaceae. The record is from RefSeq and is a predicted model, not a curated record.